UACGUAGGGGGCAAGCGUUGUCCGGAUUCAUUGGGCGUAAAGAGCUCGUAGGCGGCUUGGCAAGUCGGGUGUGAAAACUCCAGGCUCAACCUGGAGACGCCACCCGAUACUGCCAUGGCUUGAGUCCGGUAGGGGACCACGGAAUUCCUGGUGUAGCGGUGAAAUGCGCAGAUAUCAGGAGGAACACCGGUGGCGAAGGCGGUGGUCUGGGCCGGUACUGACGCUGAGACGCGAAAGCGUGGGGAGCGAACAGG
RNAcentral lists this ribosomal RNA (254 nucleotides) under uncultured bacterium. RNAcentral describes it as "partial 16S ribosomal RNA". It matches the Rfam family "Bacterial small subunit ribosomal RNA", at positions 524 to 776 of the family's 1533-position model. The record is from RNAcentral.